Molecule: ribosomal RNA, 406 nt
Filed under: uncultured bacterium
Lineage: Bacteria
Description: partial 16S ribosomal RNA
Rfam family: Bacterial small subunit ribosomal RNA
Source: RNAcentral
AUUGAACGCUGGCGGCAGGCCUAACACAUGCAAGUCGAACGAGUGGCGGACGGGUGAGUAAUGUCUGGGAGACUGCCUGAUGGAGGGGGAUAACUACUGGAAACGGUAGCUAAUACCGCAUACCAUCAGAUGUGCCCAGAUGGGCUUAGCUAGUAGGUGGGGUAAUGGCUCCCCUGGGCGCCGAUCCCUAGCUGGUCUGAGAGGAUGACCAGCGACACUGGAACUGAGACACGGUCCAGACUCCUACGGGCGUCAUCAGUGGGGAAUGUUGCGCAAUGGGCGCAAGCCUGAUGCAGCCAUGCCGCGUGUAUGAAGAAGGCCUUCGGGUUGUAAGGUACUUUCAGCGGUGAGGCGUUACCCGCAGAAGAAGCACCGGCUAACUCCGUGCCAGCAGCCGCGGUAAUUC